RNAcentral lists this non-coding RNA (23 nucleotides) under Arabidopsis thaliana (thale cress). The record is from RNAcentral. Lineage: Eukaryota; Viridiplantae; Streptophyta; Magnoliopsida; Brassicales; Brassicaceae.
GGACCGAGUGCCGCUCACGCCCG